RNAcentral lists this long non-coding RNA (219 nucleotides) under Hordeum vulgare. RNAcentral's name for it is "long non-coding RNA (HVUL_LNC015960)". Lineage: Eukaryota; Viridiplantae; Streptophyta; Magnoliopsida; Poales; Poaceae. The record is from RNAcentral.
CUCCUCUCUCCUCUUUUUCUUCUUCUUCUUCUUCUUCUUCUUCUUCUUCUUCUUUUUUCUCCUCCUACUCCCCCUCCUCUUUUUCUCCUUCUAUUCUUUUUCUUCUUCUUCUUCUUCUUCUUCUUCUUCUUCUUCUUUCUCCUCCUCUUUCUCCUCCUCCUCCUCUCCUCUUCUUCUUCUUCUUCUUCUUCUUCUUCUUCUUCUUCUUCUUCUUCUUUU